Peromyscus leucopus (white-footed mouse) is the source of this 569-nucleotide long non-coding RNA. RefSeq lists it as uncharacterized. The record is from RefSeq and is a predicted model, not a curated record. The transcript is spliced from 2 exons. Lineage: Eukaryota; Metazoa; Chordata; Mammalia; Rodentia; Cricetidae.
CACUUAAUGUAGCAUGUUCUGAACCCUGCCACAGAUCAUCAUAGCACUGCUUGGAGAUGGAUCUGGAAAGCUGAAAAUGUACAACAGUUGCUUCUGUUGACUCUCUGGAUUGGGUGACUCUACCUGGACAAAGUCUUGGAUUGAGGUGUGACAUGCUUCAGGGAAGGGGAGUGUUCAAUGAAGUCACAAGGCAUCCUGAAAUAACAGAGUGGGGCAACGUAUGGACUGGGGAUUGGGAGGUAUGAAUCAUGAACAGCAAUUGUUACUUAAGUAUGAAGAAAAUGGAGCCAGAAAAGCUUACAUUAUAGUUUCUCUCUGGAUAGAUAACUAAAAGAUGAACUUUAGAACCAAACGAUCACUGGUUUAAAUACCUAUAUGUUUUGAACUAACGUCUUAAACUUCUUGGAGCUUCGCUUCACCCUGAGAAUAGCAAUUUGAUAUGAAGUGUAGUUAAGGAUUGAGCAAUGAAAGCCUCCCUGUUAUCUGGUGCAGAACCUGUGCACACAAUGUCACUAUGUUCCCCUUCCCCUUUCCACUUAGUGACUGGUUCAAUAAACAGCAACUGGAAA